This is an RNA transcript of Cynara cardunculus var. scolymus (artichoke), 3270 nucleotides long. It is a transcript of the gene named casein kinase 1-like protein 3, with no coding region annotated. The record is from RefSeq and is a predicted model, not a curated record. The transcript is spliced from 16 exons. Lineage: Eukaryota; Viridiplantae; Streptophyta; Magnoliopsida; Asterales; Asteraceae.
AAUGUGUGACGUGGCAAAUAUCUGGUGUCAGCGAGGUCAUCUCGAAGUUAUCGAAACCACUGAUCUUCAUCCGUUCUGAAUCACAGAGAAAACCCUACCUUUCGUAUUUUCUUAAUCCUUUUUUAUUGAAUCGGUAACUCCUGGGGAGGAGCUUCAAAUUGGCAAGAGAUAUUCAUGGAGAGAAUCGUUGGAGAUAAGUACAAGCUAGGCCGCAAAAUUGGAAGCGGAUCAUUCGGUGAAAUUUUUCUCGCUACUCAUGUAGAUACACAUGAAAUCGUUGCUGUAAAAAUGGAGAACCGGCAGACUAAGCACCCGCAAUUGCUUUAUGAGGCCAAGCUAUAUAAUUACCUCCAGGGAAUAGUUGGUGUUGCUGGCAUCCAUUGGUCUGGGGUUGAUAUACAGGACAAUGUGCUUGUACUUGACCUUCUAGGGCCUAGUCUUGAGGAUCUAUUCGUGUAUUGCGGAAGGAAGUUCUCAUUGAAGACAGUUCUAAUGUUAGCUGAUCAAAUGCUUACAAGAAUAGAACUAAUGCAUGCUAAAGGAUUUCUUCAUAGAGAUUUGAAGCCAGAUAAUUUUCUAAUGGGUCUAGGCAGGAAAGCAAAUCAGGUCUAUGUUAUUGAUUUCGGACUUGCUAAAAGAUAUCGUGAUCCCACUACAAGUUGCCACAUUCCUUACAAAGCGAACAAAAACUUGACAGGGACUGCACGCUAUGCUAGCUGUAAUACUCACUUGGGAAUUGAACAAAGCCGGCGUGAUGACUUGGAGUCUCUUGGCUAUGUUUUCUUGUACUUUUUGAGAGGGAGUCUUCCAUGGCAGGGUCUCAAAGGUGCAACGAAGAAGCAAAAAUAUGACAAAAUACGUGAAAAGAAGGUUUUAUGCAAGUUUCAUCAUGGGGAGUUUGCUUCUUACUUCCAAUACUGCCGUUCUUUGACAUUUGAGCAACGGCCUGAUUAUGGAUUCUUGAAGCGCCUUUUUCGUGACUUGUUUAUGCGGGAAGGAUAUGAUUUUGAUUAUGUGUUUGAUUGGACAAUCUUAAAGCACCAACAAUCGGAAAAGACCAAGCCACAACAUCAUUCAUCUAGUCGACCAGUUCCUGGAAUGGUCAAUAGAGAAAUGGCGGUACAUUCAAAUAAGCGUCAAGGGGGUAAUGAUGAUUCCUACCAAGCUGGAGCAUCAGAGCGCAGAAGAUCAAGCAAUCCGGCUCGUCCUGACAUGCAUAAUAAAUCAAGAUUACCAUAUGAACUUAAUGAUCGUAUUUCACCUGGGAAACAUACGGUAAGUACUGCACCAAAGGCGCCUACUUCAUCAUCUAUGGCCGGUAACUUUAAAGCACCUCUUUUCAAACCUGAUGAGCCGAUUGAUACGACAAAAGUUGAUCAUGGUAUUGGUGGAAAAGCUGCUGGUGCUUCAAGCAGUUGGAUGCGAUCCUUACACCGUAUUUCGUCAGCCAAGUGAUUGAGAUUAUGAGAAGAGGAUUUACAGACAGCCUCAAUCAAUAGACACUUGUGAAGUAAUUGCUUGGAUGCUUCUGCUCAAGAUUUCAACAUGUAAUUUCUUAAGGUGAUCACAAAGCACAAACAUGUUGAAUGGUGCUUAAAAUUUUCCAAUCUGAGGUUUGAUUGUUAUGAUAAGUAGGUCCUUAAAUGACUAGGCGUUUUGCAAGUUUUAUUCAACUCUGGAUAAUGUUGUAUAGUGUUUUACAAUUCUUUCUCCAUAAAAUAGAUAAUUGGCUGCCCCUUUGUAUUUUCUGGUUGUUUCAACUAGGAAUUUCUUACAUUCAGGACCAAGUUUCUUUUAUGUUGUUCUGGUUCUUUUUUUUUUUGAUUCAGAGUUUUUUGAUGUUUAUUAUCUCAGUUUUAACAUAGGUACCAGAGUUCUUCCGAAUGUGUACGCCAUGAUCUGUAUCAGGUUCUUGUAUGAAGUUUUGGUGUAAGUUCGUGGAUUUUAUAGGACACUGAUGCUUGUCACCAUUACUGGUUUGAAGCUUUUCUCUUGGGAGGUUCCAAGGUAAUUAUGCUAAUGUAGUCAUAUGAUGGAAAAUAUACGUCAAGGCUUUCCUUCAUUUCAUCAUGUGGCUUUUCAGUUUCUCAUCCAUUGGAGCCAUUUCUAAUAAAAGGGUCAUGAGGGUCAAGUUCCAUAUACAUUGCAUCAGGUCCAAGAAAAAGAAUCCACUUUAAGAUUUGAAGGAAUUGGAAGACAUUUUUUGUGAUAAUGGUACCAUGCUAAUACUGUGCAAACUUUCAUGGCCAAUGUGAAUUUUGGUGAUUUUGACCAUGAAAUUUUGCCCAUAUUCUAAGGCCAAGAUGUGUCAUGAAAUUUGGAAAUCUCUAAUAGCUGUACUAAUAUCGUUCAAGCAUAUCCAACCUGUAUAUGAUCUUUUUGUUGCUUCCAUCUGUUUACGAGCGUCGAACCCAGAUAGAUAAAGCUCUUCCUCAAUCAAAUGCCUAUUCACCAACAAAGAAAUACAUUUCUAUAUCUUCGACGGAUAUGUUCAUCUUACUCAGAGUCACAUGUACCACCAGUAGUCUGGAAGAUAUUUAAUUUUGUUUUGAAGGGUGAUCGUUGAUCGAUAAGUAAGGUUGCUCUAUUCUGGUAAAAGGUGGAGGUUACAAUCCUUGGCAAAAGGAAAAUACUCGUACAAAAAAUUUCUUCUCCAACCCUCGGUUUCCAGGAAGAGAUGGGAAUUGUUAGUUGGAAGUAAUAAUGUGUCUUCUUUUUUAUUUGGUAUCCAUGGGUGUUCGGUCAGUUUGCACUCACCUUGACUAAUCCCAUGGGGUCGUGGUGGCCCUGAGGGGACUUGAACUAGUGACCUCUGAGGAGCAAACCCAAAUGUCUUGUUGCAUGUUUAUUUGAUCUGCUGCAAUUACAAUUCUAAUAGUCUAUACUGUCUACCCAAGUGGCAGAGAUGGAGAAGUUGGGAUAUGAUGGAAGAUGGUGCCUGAAAACUCCAACAAAACUGACCGCCAAAAGUUCCAGAUUAUCAGAAUUUGCACAGAAUAAUCUCUGUUAUAUGUCAUCUUUAAGAGCAUGAUUCUGGAGCCGAAUGCAUCAUAUAUUCUGCAAUGAAUCAGCACAACGUAGCCAAUAGUUCCUUUGUUAUGAAAUGAUCUGAUAUCGCAGAUCAAUCCUGCGUCAAUCAUGGGCAUAGCCCACGAAGUGUGUCAUAUGCUUGUGGCCCAAUUCUCGGUAAGUUAGAAUGUGUAGAGUUGCUAUUUAUCUUACAAUUACAAUUUGUUAAAACUAUUUAGGUUAUAUGAUCAGGGUGCUUUU